GAUGAACGCUGGCGGCGUGCCUAAUACAUGCAAGUCGAGCGAACGGACGAGAAGCUUGCUUCUCUGAUGUUAGCGGCGGACGGGUGAGUAACACGUGGAUAACCUACCUAUAAGACUGGGAUAACUUCGGGAAACCGGAGCUAAUACCGGAUGAUAUUUUGAACCGCAUGGUUCAAUAGUGAAAGACGGUCUUGCUGUCACUUAUAGAUGGAUCCGCGCUGCAUUAGCUAGUUGGUAAGGUAACGGCUUACCAAGGCAACGAUGCAUAGCCGACCUGAGAGGGUGAUCGGCCACACUGGAACUGAGACACGGUCCAGACUCCUACGGGAGGCAGCAGUAGGGAAUCUUCCGCAAUGGGCGAAAGCCUGACGGAGCAACGCCGCGUGAGUGAUGAAGGUCUUCGGAUCGUAAAACUCUGUUAUUAGGGAAGAACAAAUGUGUAAGUAACUAUGCACAUCUUGACGGUACCUAAUCAGAAAGCCACGGCUAACUACGUG
RNAcentral lists this ribosomal RNA (497 nucleotides) under uncultured bacterium. Its description in RNAcentral is "partial 16S ribosomal RNA". It matches the Rfam family "Bacterial small subunit ribosomal RNA", at positions 28 to 507 of the family's 1533-position model. The record is from RNAcentral.